RNAcentral lists this long non-coding RNA (291 nucleotides) under Nicotiana benthamiana. Its description in RNAcentral is "long non-coding RNA (NBEN_LNC001963)". Lineage: Eukaryota; Viridiplantae; Streptophyta; Magnoliopsida; Solanales; Solanaceae. The record is from RNAcentral.
CCCUUACCCCCUCCCCCCUGCACACAUUUGUUUUUGUAAUUAACUUUUUUUUCCUUUUACUGCCCCUCCCCCCAAAAAAAUUUAAAUAUAUUUUCAGUUUUUAAUUUUAUUAUUUAUUGAUUUAAUGGCUCAAAAUUUUACAAGUUCCAAAAUUAUGAGUUCGGAUGUUUAUGUGUUUGGAAGUUUACGGGUUUGAAAAUACGCGGUUUUUACGUUAAAAAGUAAAACAUCACAUUAGUUCCUUUAGAUUGUGUCAAUUUUUAGAGACUUAGGGAAGGCGUGAGGGAGGGG